This 77-nucleotide transfer RNA is filed under the name Pararhodospirillum photometricum DSM 122. RNAcentral's name for it is "tRNA-Met". The record is from RNAcentral. Lineage: Bacteria; Pseudomonadati; Pseudomonadota; Alphaproteobacteria; Rhodospirillales; Rhodospirillaceae.
CUCUUUACACUGUCAAAUAGCCUUAUCGCGGGGUGGAGCAGCCCGGUAGCUCGUCAGGCUCAUAACCUGAAGGUCGU